UCCUCGGUAGUAUAGUGGUGAGUAUCUGCGUCUGUCACAUGCGAGACCCGGGUUCAAUUCCCGGCCGGGGAG
RNAcentral lists this transfer RNA (72 nucleotides) under Cylicocyclus nassatus. It matches the Rfam family "tRNA". Rfam says of the family: Transfer RNA (tRNA) molecules are approximately 80 nucleotides in length. Their secondary structure includes four short double-helical elements and three loops (D, anti-codon, and T loops). The record is from Rfam by way of RNAcentral. Lineage: Eukaryota; Metazoa; Nematoda; Chromadorea; Rhabditida; Strongylidae. RNAcentral also lists the same sequence under 1 other name.